This 1983-nucleotide ribosomal RNA is filed under the name human gut metagenome. RNAcentral describes it as "bacterial LSU rRNA". It matches the Rfam family "Bacterial large subunit ribosomal RNA", at positions 1 to 1979 of the family's 2925-position model. The record is from RNAcentral.
UUAAGAUACUAAGAGCAUACGGUGGAUGCCUUGGCGAUAUCUGCCGACGAAGGACGUGACAAGCUGCGAAAAGCUGCGGAGAGAUGCAAAUAAUCGGCGACCCGCAGACAUCCGAAUGGAGAAAUCCGGCUGUGAUGAUGCACAGCCAUCCAUGCCCAAGAGCAUGAGAAGGGAACCGGGCGAACUGAAACAUCUAAGUAACCCGAGGAAAAGAAAUCAAACGAGAUACCCCAAGUAGCGGCGAGCGAACAGGGAAGAAGCCCAAACCGGUGAAGGAAACUUUGCCGGGGUUGAGGACCAUCAGACCCGCGAAGAACCUUAGCCGAAACUGUUGGGAAACAGUGCCAAAGACAGUGAAAGCCUGGUAGGCGAAAAAGAGAAACGCGGAGAUGGCACCAGAGUACCGCGGGACACGAGAAAUCCCGUGGGAAACAGGGGGGACCACCCUCCAAGGCAAAACACAGAUAUCGACCGAUAGCGCAUAGUACCAUGAGGGAAAGGUGAAAAGCACCCCGGGAGGGGAAUGAAAGAGAACCUGAAACCGUAUGUUUACAAGCAGUCGGAGACCGCUUAAUAAUAAGGUCGACGGCGUGCCUAUUGAAGAAUGAACCGGCGAGUUACGAAGCCUGGCAAGGUUAAGCAGGAAAUGCGGAGCCGAAGCGAAAGCGAGUCUUAAGAGGGCGCAAGUCAGGAAGCGUAGACCCGAAACCACAGUGAUCUACCCAUGUCCAGGUUGAAACACAGGUAAAAAUGUGUGGAGGACCGAACCUAUAUCCGUUGAAAAGGGUUAGGAUGAGGUGUGGGUAGGGGUGAAAUUCCAAUCGAACGUGGAGAUAGCUGGUUCUCCCCGAAAUAGCUUUAGGGCUAGCCUCAGGGAAAAGAUUGCAGGCGGUAGAGCACUGAUCAGGAGAGGGACCUACCCGGUUACCAAACCCAGUCAAACUCCGAAUGGCUGCAAUCAUACCUGGGAGUCAGACUGCGACUAAUAAGGGCCGCAGUCAAAAGGGAAACAGCCCAGACCAUCAGCUAAGGUCCCCAAUGCCGUGCUAAGUGGCGAAGGAUGUGGCAUUUCAUAAACAACCAGGAUGUUGGCUCAGAAGCAGCCACCAUUUAAAGAGUGCGUAAUAGCUCACUGGUCGAGAGACGCUGCGCCGAAAAUGUCCGGGGCUCAAGCACGGAACCGAAGCUAUGGCAUGAUAGCAAUAUCAUGGGUAGGGGAGCGUUCUUAUAAGGAAGAAGCAUGACCGGAAGGACAUGUGGACAAAUAAGAAGUGAGAAUGCCGGUAUGAGUAUCGAAAAGAAAGGUGAGAAUCCUUUCCACCGAAAGCCCGAGGGUUCCUGAGCAACGAUCGUCGACUCAGGGUAAGUCGGGACCUAAGCCGAGGCGAGAAGCGUAGGCGAUGGACAACAGGUUGAAAUUCCUGUACCGGAUCAAGUCGAUCGAGCGAAGGAGCGACGCAGGAGGGCACAUGAUCGCGCGGGUGGAAGAGCGCGUCCAAGUGCGUAUGUUGCUGCAGAGGAAAACCCCUGCAGCUAAAAGCAGAGACAUGAUGGGGAGUUAAAGGGAACUUUGACGAACUCAUGAAUCCCACACUGCCAAGAAAAACUUCUAGCGAGACAAGAUCCGCCCGUACCGUAAACCGACACAGGUAGGCGGGGAGAGAAUCCUAAGGUGCGCGGGAAAACCCUCGUUAAGGAACUCGGCAAAUUGCAUCCGUAACCUAGGGAGAAGGAUGGCCCCCGGUCAGUGAAGAGCAGAAACGCUCAGAGCUAAAAGGGGCGGCAGAAAAGAGGCCCAAGCAACUGUUUACCAAAAACACAGGUGCCUGCGAAAGCGAAAGCUGAAGUAUAGGUGCUGACGCCUGCCCGGUGCCGGAAGGUUAAGGAGAGAAGUUAGCGAAAGCGAAGCAUCGAACUGAAGCCCCGGUGAACGGCGGCCGUAACUAUAACGGUCCUAAGGUAGCGAAAUUCCUUGUCGGGUAA